AUGACUGGGGAGGUGAACAACUACUAUUUGCUUCCCGAAGAACCCGACCCCUUGCGCACCUUGCAUCAUAAGGAUAGCAUCGCCAAGGUGAUGUUUCUCGCAGCCGUGGCUAAACCAAGAUACGGCAAAGGUGGUGAGGUCACUUUUGAUGGAAAGCUCGGCAUUUGGGCUUUUGUCACAGAGUCUCCUGCUCAAAGAACCAGUGAAAACAGAGAUAAAGGGACGCUCGAGCUCAAAUCAUUGAAAGUCACACGAGAUGUAAUGAGGUAUUACAUGUGUGAGAAACUUAUUCCUGCGAUCCAAGAGCGCUGGCCGGACGAAGAUGAAGGACGGACAAUCUAUAUCCAACAAGAUAAUGCCACGCCACAUAUUCUUCCCGAUGACCCGGUUUUCCGACAAGUCAUAGAACAAACUGAUUUGGAUAUUAAGUUGCUUCAACAGCCUCCAAACAGUCCCGACAUGAACAUUCUUGAUCUCUGCAUAUUCAGGUCUCUCCAGUCCCACACUGAUAGCAGAGCACCUCAAAGCAUCAGGGAACUGAUAGAAGGUGUGGAGGAGGAAUAUCGAAACUACCCGGUUGAUAAGCUAGCUAGAAGCUUCGUGACGCUGCAGUCAUGCAUCCGAGAAGUAAUGAGAAACAAGGGAGCGAUAAACUACUCGAUCCCUCACAUGAACAAGGAACGCCGGCAGGCAGAAGGAUGA
Molecule: ribosomal RNA, 702 nt
Filed under: Triticum aestivum (bread wheat)
Lineage: Eukaryota; Viridiplantae; Streptophyta; Magnoliopsida; Poales; Poaceae
Description: partial small subunit ribosomal RNA
Source: RNAcentral